GCAAAACCAUUUCCUUCCCCUUUCAAUUCCUAUUUCUCUAAAAUAAGACUGAACACAACAGCAUGUAUAAUAUCUUAAUUUUUACUUUAAUGUUGAGAAGUGGGUUUUGUUACCAAUCUCAAGUUCAGCGUGGCGUUGAUGUGUCACUGCGAUGUGAGGUCUCUUUCCUGUCUGAAUCCUCAACAUUGCAGUGGGAGAGAGACGGACAACAAACAUCCAACACCACUCUACUGUACAACAACUCUACAACUCUGCCUACAUCAUCUUACACACCGUUGAUGAAAACAAUGAGGGGGAAUAUUACUGUAGAUUGAUGGAAAAUGGAAGAGUAAAAACUGUUAGGAAUUACUUGCUUAAUGUAAGUUCAAAUACAUUUAAUGGAAAUGAAACAAAUAAUAUAAUUUACAGACAAAGCUCUAAUAAUAGUGACGUAUCACUGAUCUGCAAGUCUUCCAGGAAGUACGAGAGCUGGAAAUGGACCUGGGAGCCGAGGCCUGAUUCACAGAUCAUUGAUCUGAUAGCAGUUGAAAAAGGAAGAGAAAUUCUAGUAAAAGGACCAAUUAAACCAGGAAGACUUUCUUCAACCACUUACAAUGAUCAACUUUUUAUCUUUCACAUCUCACCUGUGAACUUUAAUUAUAGUGGGACAUACAGGUGUAUUACAAACGAUCAUGAUAUUCCCUACACAACCACAAUGCUACACACCAUCAGAGUCUCAGUGGAGCCCCCUGAUGGUGUGUUGAGGAAUCAGUCAGUGAUUCUGACCUGUGAAGUUUCUGAAGUGACUGAUUCAGUGAUGCUGGUCUGGCUCAGGAUGGAGGGGAACAGAGGCGUGCUGGAAAAACAGCAAAUUAUGACUGAAAACAAGUUACAGCUCACAGUGAAUCUAUCCAGCUAUGAAACAGACCCGCUGCACUGACAGUGUGCAGUUUUUACUGAGAAUAAACUCAGAGCUCUGGCCCCUAUAACAAUCAGUCUUUCCUCAUCAACUACUAAUACACCAAGUACAUCAACAGAAACUCUAACAAAUAAUAUUAAUAUACAGUAUUUUUCACCUUAACUCGGAGUAAGAUUGUAUUGGUGUAUUGGUCAGUGUUGGUGUAAUUAUCUGUCUCCACAUGUUUGUGCAGAAGACAUCAUGACACAGGACAGUCAUCUACAGAUGGUGAUCAUCAUGGUGUGUGUUGUCACUGGUGGUGUGCUGAUUCUGCUGCUGGUAGUUCUAGUUUUUAAACAUCAGCGAAAAACAGAUGAAGGUCACGGCCCUGGAUUAAAAUCACAAGAAGAUGAGGACAUCCAUUAUGCUUCACUGACGGUAGCAGGAUCUAGUCAGGGAGCUGACAAACAUGCGAGUUCAAAGGUGUUGGACAGGAAUUCUACAGUCAUCUACUCAGCUAUUAAAGCACAGUGAACAUUCACACUGGAAAUUCUUGUAUAAACUUUAUUCCAUUGAUUUAUUACUAAAUGGAUAUGAAAACACCAAAUUAAUUUUGUUAAUAAUUGCUUUCUAGUCAGUGAUUAUUUUGGUAUAGCCUAUUUAAAAUUACUUAAGUCUAAUAAUGAAGCAUUUUCUAUGUUCAAGUUAUGCAUAUUGGGUAUGCUCUCUCUGUAAGCAAAGGGUCUUAGGUUUCAUUUGCAUUGGGAAAACAAAAAUCUAAAACCAACAUUAUCUCUGAGUGUCGAUCAAUAUAUUUGCAUGCCAGAUCAAAACCUCAUUGUGGUUUCAGAACACACAACUGUGUUAAAUAUAGCACAGUACUUCCUGUUGUGGAAAACUGCAGCAAAUGUUUCAACUAACCAAAAGUCAGAAUGAAAAAAUAUUGAGUUGCAAGCAAAAGAACCCUGUUGUCACAUAGGCAUUGUCUGUGUUUGGUUCUUUCAGAUUUAUUUAGUUGUGUUUUGUCUCUGUAUAUUUGGUUGCUAUGGUUUCUUAUUGAUUGAUCAGUCUUGUGACUUGUUUUACCCCUCAUUAUCUUGUGUAAUUGUGUAUUUUGUUAAUGCUGCAAAUUUAACUACAUUUCCCAUAAUGCACAGUGUUUAAAAAAAAAAAAAUGGUUUUAUGUCUGUGAAUACUGAAGUGAGAAAAAGAGCAGUCAUGCUUUGUCGUAAUUACCAGCCUGAGCUAUUAUAUUCUUAAAAUAAUAAUAAUAAUAAUAUAAUUAUAUUCCUC
Megalobrama amblycephala (Wuchang bream) is the source of this 2170-nucleotide long non-coding RNA. RefSeq lists it as uncharacterized. The record is from RefSeq and is a predicted model, not a curated record. The transcript is spliced from 7 exons. NCBI's taxonomy places the organism in Eukaryota, Metazoa, Chordata, Actinopteri, Cypriniformes, Xenocyprididae.